UAAAUUUUAGUUUGGUUAAGUUAGAAAGGGCGCACGGUGGAUGCCUUGACACUAGGAGUCGAUGAAGGACGGGACUAACGCCGAUAUGCUUCGGGGAGCUGUAAGUAAGCUUUGAUCCGAAGAUUUCCGAAUGGGGAAACCCACCAUACGUAAUGGUAUGGUAUCCUUAUCUGAAUACAUAGGGUAAGGAAGACAGACCCAGGGAACUGAAACAUCUAAGUACCUGGAGGAAGAGAAAGCAAAUGCGAUUUCCUGAGUAGCGGCGAGCGAAACGGAACAUAGCCCAAACCAAGAGGCUUGCCUCUUGGGGUUGUAGGACAUUCUAUACGGAGUUACAAAGGAACGAGGUAGACGAAGCGACCUGGAAAGGUCCGUCGUAGAGGGUAACAACCCCGUAGUCGAAACUUCGUUCUCUCUUGAAUGUAUCCUGAGUACGGCGGAACACGUGAAAUUCCGUCGGAAUCUGGGAGGA
Molecule: ribosomal RNA, 472 nt
Filed under: Bacillus cereus
Lineage: Bacteria; Bacillati; Bacillota; Bacilli; Caryophanales; Bacillaceae
Description: bacterial LSU rRNA
Rfam family: Bacterial large subunit ribosomal RNA
Source: RNAcentral